This 689-nucleotide ribosomal RNA is filed under the name uncultured bacterium. RNAcentral's name for it is "bacterial SSU rRNA". It matches the Rfam family "Bacterial small subunit ribosomal RNA", at positions 332 to 1022 of the family's 1533-position model. The record is from RNAcentral.
UUUACUCCUACGGGAGGCAGCAGUAGGGAAUAUUCCACAAUGAGCGAAAGCUUGAUGGAGCGACACAGCGUGCACGAUGAAGGUCUUCGGAUUUGCAAGUGCUGUUAUAAGGGAAGAACAUUUGCAAUAGGAAAUGAUUGCAGACUGACGGUACCUUGUCAGAAAGCGAUGGCUAACUAUGUGCCAGCAGCCGCGGUAAUACAUAGGUCGCAAGCGUUAUCCGGAAUUAUUGGGCGUAAAGCGUUCGUAGGCUGUUUGUUAAGUCUGGAGUUAAAUCCCGGGGCUCAACCCCGGCUCGCUUUGGAUACUAGCAAACUAGAGUUAGAUAGAGGUAAGCGGAAUUCCAUGUGAAGCGGUGAAAUGCGUAGAUAUAUGGAAGAACACCAAAGGCGAAGGCAGCUUACUGGGUCUAUACUGACGCUGAGGGACGAAAGCGUGGGGAGCAAACAGGAUUAGAUACCCUGGUAGUCCACGCCGUAAACGAUGAUCAUUAGUCGGUGGAGAAUCACUGACGCAGCUAACGCAUUAAAUGAUCCGCCUGAGUAGUAUGCUCGCAAGAGUGAAACUUAAAGGAAUUGACGGGGACCCGCACAAGCGGUGGAGCAUGUGGUUUWAYUYGAAGAUACACGGAAAACCUUACCCACUCUUGACAUCCUUCGCAAAGCUAUAGAGAUAUAGUGGAGGUUAAC